GUUGCACGAGCUGCACCGUGCUGCCCAGACCCCUGGAGGAAGAGGAUGGCUGAGCUCUCAGGGGCCACACCCGGAGCCCUGAGCCUGUUCUGAGCCCCUCACUUAAGGAGCAUGCCGGAGACUCUGAAAAUGAUGCCAGUGAUUGUGAUACUUUCAGAGGAAACUGAACUUCAGAGAAUGACUCACCCAAGGUCACACUGCUCAGAUUCUAAAAAAUUUGGUGCUGAUGGCUAACCACUGGACCGCCAGGGAAUUCCCAUCACCCAGUUUCCUGAACACAAAGAGAAAGACUCUCUAUUUCACCCUCCCCCUUCUCCCUACCCCUCCCAGGCACCCCCACUAACACCAGUCAUGGACACCAGUGCCUUAAGCUGCCCAAGCGUGGCUUCCAGCCCUACUGUAAUCGACAAGAACCCCCACUCCCCGAGAUGGCCUCUCUCUGUGCCAGCCACAUGCCACUAAACUCCAGAUUAAGAGGCCCAGCUGAGAUUUCUCUUGUUCCCCCCAUACCCCUGGGGCCAAUCGUCUCUCAUUUCAGGAGGGGGGAUGGAACUAGAAGUUUGGAUUUGGGAAGGGGGGUCGAGAGGGCUCACCGCCAA
Molecule: long non-coding RNA, 599 nt
Organism: Cervus elaphus (red deer)
Lineage: Eukaryota; Metazoa; Chordata; Mammalia; Artiodactyla; Cervidae
Exons: 3
Source: RefSeq, a predicted model, not a curated record